This 305-nucleotide ribosomal RNA is filed under the name uncultured bacterium. RNAcentral's name for it is "bacterial SSU rRNA". It matches the Rfam family "Bacterial small subunit ribosomal RNA", at positions 336 to 659 of the family's 1533-position model. The record is from RNAcentral.
UUCCUACGGGGGGCAGCAGUGGGGAAUAUUGCACAAUGGGGGGAACCCUGAUGCAGCGAUGCCGCGUGGAGGAAGAAGGUUUUCGGAUUGUAAACUCCUUUUAUCAGGGACGAUAAUGACGGUACCUGAAGAAAAAGCAUCGGCUAACUCCGUGCCAGCAGCCGCGGUAAUACGGAGGAUGCGAGCGUUAUCCGGAUUUAUUGGGUUUAAAGGGUGCGCAGGCGGCGAGUUAAGUCAGCGGUAAAAUUUCGGGGCUCAACCCCGACAAGCCGUUGAAACUGGCUUGCUAGAGUGGGCGAGAAGUA